UCCGAUGUAGUGUAGGGGUUAUCACUGUGCUCUUUCAAGUUCCUCUUUGGGACAUUGAACAGCACUAACGGGGGUUCGAAUCCCCCCAUCGGAG
Penicillium camemberti is the source of this 94-nucleotide non-coding RNA. Lineage: Eukaryota; Fungi; Ascomycota; Eurotiomycetes; Eurotiales; Aspergillaceae. The record is from Rfam.